AAACCCGCCUGACCACCGCUGCGAGAAUGGCAGACACUUCAAACGCCACGAAGGAUAUUCCUUCUUCUUUAGUUUUUGAGGCCCUGCACUCGAGGGUGACGGUGGAAACCGUCGAGGGUGAUCUGUACAAAGGAACACUGGCAGCUUUUGAUGUUUCACGAGGAAACGUUGAGCUGGUUGAUGUUCGGCACCACGCAAAAGAUUCCAGUUUCGGGUUUUACGAGCGGGUUACUGUUCGUGGCUCAAAAAUACGAAUCAUUUUACUGCCUCCAGAGAUGAAGGCAGCGCCCUCUCUGCAGUGGCGCCGAGAGUCGGUGCAACAGGAACUCAAGAAGUCGCUGAAGCACGUACCUGCCCUCCGACCAGUCGUGCCCGCCCCACGACCGCUUCGCAUCAAGAAGGCACAACCCAAGAACGACAAGAGCAAGCAGCUGCGCAAAAAAUUGCGCUGAUUAAGGUUCUUCGACUGCUUCUAUUUCGGUAUUCUCACUGAAUCUUUCCAAGUAAGUUCCUGCCUGUAGACUGCUUACCGGUAUGUUUGUUGAAUGGUAUAGGUUUCUUUCUCGGCAGCACGGACAUACUGGAUUAUUGAGGCAGUGAGUAGCUUUUGUUUUUUGUUGUUGCUUUCUCCUCUAUCGUGGUAGCGCUGCUGUAGCUACUAUUGUCUGGAGGACUUUGUCGCUGUGAAUGUCGGGUUGUAAGCCCUGAUUCGCCGUUUGUUAUCCCGAGUGAGACUUUCGGCUAGAUUCCACUGUAAAAAAAAAAACUAUUCUGUUGAAAAAGCAUGAAAUUACCACCAGUCCGUUCUGCGCUGUGCGGUCUCUUUCUUUUCGUUCCCCCAAAUGUGCUUUCCAUGUUAUAUAUAUAUAUAUUCUCGCUCUUACUGGCUGCCUCGCUUUUGCUCUCUUUGUUACCACCCCUUUGUAUAUCGGCCUGAUCACACUUGCAAG
RNAcentral lists this unclassified non-coding RNA (950 nucleotides) under Leishmania donovani. RNAcentral describes it as "gene:LdHU3.36.0730(CDS-product:U2_small_nuclear_r ibonucleoprotein_16.5K_putative)". The record is from RNAcentral. Lineage: Eukaryota; Euglenozoa; Kinetoplastea; Trypanosomatida; Trypanosomatidae.